CCUACGGGCGGCAGCAGUGAGGAAUAUUGGUCAAUGGGCGCGAGCCUGAACCAGCCAAGUCGCGUGAGGGAUGACGGCCCUAUGGGUUGUAAACCUCUUUUAUAAGGGAAUAAAGUGCGGCACGCGUGCCGCUUGGCAUGUACCUUAUGAAUAAGGAUCGGCUAACUCCGUGCCAGCAGCCGCGGUAAUACGGAGGAUCCGAGCGUUUUCCGGGUUUAUUGGGUUUAAAGGGGGCGUAGGGGGGCUUUUAAGUCAGCGGUGAAAGUGUGGGGCGCAACCCUAGGAUUGCCGUUGAAACUGGCGGUCUUGAGUGUGCUUGAGGCAGGCGGAAUGCGUGGUGUAGCGGUGAAAUGCAUAGAUAUCACGCAGAACCCCGAUUGCGAAGGCAGCGUGCCAACCCCUGACUGACGCUGAUGCACGAAAGCGUGGGUAUCGAACAGGAUUAGAUACCCCUGUAGUC
This 460-nucleotide ribosomal RNA is filed under the name uncultured bacterium. RNAcentral's name for it is "partial 16S ribosomal RNA". It matches the Rfam family "Bacterial small subunit ribosomal RNA", at positions 338 to 795 of the family's 1533-position model. The record is from RNAcentral.